AUGGGGGGAAAGAGGGAAGGCGAGGCAAAGAGGGGGGAAAUGUGGAAAACUAAGACUUCAUCAAAGGACAGUGACGAACUGUAUGAAAUGAGAUUUUCUUCCCUGCUUGCGCUGUGCCUAAGAAACAAGUUUUCACUUGGAAAUGCUGACUCCUCCCACAAAGUAAUGCUACUUCUAUUUUCUCUCUGGUUAAUUGCUCAGGUCCCUAGGAGGGAAUGGAGCAAUGCUGUAAGCACAGAUGUUGUGUCUGCUAAUCCCCAAUCACCCAAGAACUACUGGAUUUUCCUGUCUCUUAUGCAGGUAGACCACCUAAUCCCCUGGAGAUCCCAAUCAGCGUGGACAAAGAGUUGUAGGUACUACGAAAUACGCUUGGCACACGGGGGAUUUACUGCUGGGAGAUGAUUAACAUUCUUGAGGUAAUUUUAAAUUAAAUUAAGGAAACCAUAGCAUCAAAUUGUAGCACUUCCAAAUAAUCUCUGUAAUGGAAUAGCGUGUCUAGAUGUCUGUGACAUGUUUAAUUUCUUUUAGGCUGGAUUUCUAAUUUUAUUUAACCAGUGUGUGAAACCGUAUAACCAGAAGCCCAAGAUGUGCUUUUUGGAAAAGUAUGAAUACCUCCUUGGCAAUACUUGAGAGGAAAAAUUUAGGUAGGCUGCAGGGCAUAGGCCAAAAAGCUUGUCACUUUGGAUGUAGAAAAUGAGGUCAUUAUAAUUUCUUUUCUGCUGUUUUUAAACAGAUUGAUGGAUAAAAUAUUAUCCAGAAUAGCAAGUUGAUUGUGUAAUCUGUGUUUUCUGUUCAUCAAAUAUUGAGCCACUUCUGAUCGACUUAAGGGAAGGAAGGAAAUAUGAGGAGAAUACAUUGCAGAAUAGUUGGUUUGCAGUGAUUUUUCUGGGCACAGUUAUCAUAGACAGUAUGUUUUCCAUAAAUACAUGGUUCGUAUAUGAGAUUUUUGAACGUUGCAUUUCUGUUAUGCAAUAGCAUAGGCAUAAAAGUAGCCAAAUUGCAUUGGCUUUAAUUUAUAAUGUAAUUCCUCCAGAAAGGCAGUCACUACAAAGAGUUUCAAUGCAACUGCUUUGGCAAAUAACACUUGAUUGCUUUCAUCUGAAAACACCUCAGCUACAUAAGAAAAACAACAAAGCAAAUGGUCCUUUUCCCAAGACAUUCUUAAAGAUUUGUGAUUCAUUGUAGCAAAAUAAAGCGAGGGAUUUUAUUCUAAUUCGUAUAUAA
Molecule: long non-coding RNA, 1224 nt
Filed under: Anas platyrhynchos platyrhynchos (common mallard)
Lineage: Eukaryota; Metazoa; Chordata; Aves; Anseriformes; Anatidae
Description: lncRNA (ENSAPLG00000023612.1)
Source: RNAcentral